AUCGCUUCUCGGCCUAAAGUUUAAGAUCAAAGUGUAGUAUCGGUUCUUAUUAGCUUAACAUUUGAUAGCUCUCCUAUAGGGAGACAACAAAUGUUAAAUUUGGGUCUUCCUUAGCCGAGUGGUUGAAGUCCGCCGCUACAAAGCAAGGCCUUGCUGAAGGUAU
Molecule: small nuclear RNA, 163 nt
Filed under: Aedes aegypti (yellow fever mosquito)
Lineage: Eukaryota; Metazoa; Arthropoda; Insecta; Diptera; Culicidae
Description: partial AAEL017958-RA
Rfam family: U2 spliceosomal RNA (bases 1-113)
About the family: U2 is a small nuclear RNA (snRNA) component of the spliceosome (involved in pre-mRNA splicing).
Source: RNAcentral